This 303-nucleotide ribosomal RNA is filed under the name Triticum aestivum (bread wheat). RNAcentral's name for it is "partial small subunit ribosomal RNA". The record is from RNAcentral. Lineage: Eukaryota; Viridiplantae; Streptophyta; Magnoliopsida; Poales; Poaceae.
AUGCCUAAUCAAAACUUGGAAGGACACGUGCCUAACUCGGUAAGCCAAGAGCACGUAAACACAUACACAUGCAAAGGAGUGCAUAUGGACACGGUCACCAUUAAAAUACAUGGUUGGGUAAGCCAAGAGCACGUAAACACAUACACAUGCAAAGGAGUGCAUGCGGACAGGGUCACCAUUAAAAUACACAGCUGGGUAAGCCAAGAGCACGUAAACACAUACACAUGCAAAGGAGUGCAUACGGACACGGUCACCAUUAAAAUACACGGCUGGCCGCAUCCAUCAUCAUGUUGUCACAUAUAG